UACGUAGGGUGCAAGCGUUAAUCGGAAUUACUGGGCGUAAAGCGUGCGCAGGUGGUUUCUUAAGUCAGUGGUGAAAGCCCGGGGCUCAACUCCGGAACUGCCAUUGAAACUGUGAAACUCGAGGACGAGAGAGGUGGGUGGAAUUCCCAGUGUAGAGGUGAAAUUCGUAGAUAUUGGGAAGAACACCGGUGGCGAAGGCGGCUCACUGGCUCGUAUCUGACACUGAAGCGCGAUAGCGUGGGGAUCAAACAGG
This 253-nucleotide ribosomal RNA is filed under the name uncultured bacterium. Its description in RNAcentral is "partial 16S ribosomal RNA". It matches the Rfam family "Bacterial small subunit ribosomal RNA", at positions 524 to 776 of the family's 1533-position model. The record is from RNAcentral.